GGGAAUCUGCCCUUGGGUUCGGGAUAACCGUUGGAAACGACGGCUAAUACCGGAUGAUGACGAAAGUCCAAAGAUUUAUCGCCCAGGGAUGAGCCCGCGUCCGAUUAGGUAGUUGGUGGGGUAAAGGCCUACCAAGCCGACGAUCGGUAGCUGGUCUGAGAGGAUGAUCAGCCACACUGGGACUGAGACACGGCCCAGACUCCUACGGGAGGCAGCAGUGGGGAAUAUUGGACAAUGGGCGAAAGCCUGAUCCAGCAAUGCCGCGUGAGUGAUGAAGGCCUUAGGGUUGUAAAGCUCUUUUACCCGGGAUGAUAAUGACAGUACCGGGAGAAUAAGCCCCGGCUAACUCCGUGCCAGCAGCCGCGGUAAUACGGAGGGGGCUAGCGUUGUUCGGAAUUACUGGGCGUAAAGCGCACGUAGGCGGACAUUUAAGUCAGGGGUGAAAUCCCGGGGCUCAACCCCGGAACGGCCUUUGAUACUGGGUGUCUUGAGUUCGGAAGAGGUGAGUGGAAUUGCGAGU
Molecule: ribosomal RNA, 520 nt
Filed under: uncultured bacterium
Lineage: Bacteria
Description: bacterial SSU rRNA
Rfam family: Bacterial small subunit ribosomal RNA
Source: RNAcentral